Molecule: long non-coding RNA, 237 nt
Filed under: Trifolium pratense (red clover)
Lineage: Eukaryota; Viridiplantae; Streptophyta; Magnoliopsida; Fabales; Fabaceae
Description: long non-coding RNA (TPRA_LNC012384)
Source: RNAcentral
AAAUUCUCAUGAUUUUUAGCACACACUGCAAUAUUCUGUUAGAAAAAACGAAAAGAAAAAAAGUAAAAUAAUGUACUCUAUGCUGCCUUAUUGAACACGAAUACAUUCCUUAAUAUAUCAUCCACCACCACAUAUUUAACAUUUCGAUUUCGUCACUACCAAAACCCUAAAACCCUAAACAAAACCCCUCCUUCUCUCUCUCUCUCUCUCUCCUCCGAUUCACCAUGGCCGCCUUAC